UACGUAGGCAGCGAGCGUUGUUCGGAGUUACUGGGCGUAAAGGGAGUGUAGGCGGUUCCCUAAGGUUGGUGUGAAAUCUCCCGGGUCACCUGGGAGGGUGCGCCGAAAACUGGAGGGGUAGAGUACGGGAUGGGAGAGUAGAAUUCCUGGUUUAGCGGUGAAAUGCGUAGAUAUCAGGAGGAAUUCCGGUGGUGUAAACGGCUCUCUGGACCGUAACUGACGCUGAGACACGAAAGCGUGGGUAGCAAACAGG
This 253-nucleotide ribosomal RNA is filed under the name uncultured bacterium. RNAcentral's name for it is "partial 16S ribosomal RNA". It matches the Rfam family "Bacterial small subunit ribosomal RNA", at positions 524 to 776 of the family's 1533-position model. The record is from RNAcentral.